RNAcentral lists this transfer RNA (73 nucleotides) under Waddlia chondrophila WSU 86-1044. Its description in RNAcentral is "tRNA-Ala (TGC) (tRNA-Ala-TGC-1-1)". It matches the Rfam family "tRNA". Rfam says of the family: Transfer RNA (tRNA) molecules are approximately 80 nucleotides in length. Their secondary structure includes four short double-helical elements and three loops (D, anti-codon, and T loops). Lineage: Bacteria; Pseudomonadati; Chlamydiota; Chlamydiia; Parachlamydiales; Waddliaceae. RNAcentral also lists the same sequence under 3 other names. The record is from Rfam by way of RNAcentral.
GGGGGUAUAGCUCAGCUGGUAGAGCAUCUGAUUUGCAUUCAGAAGGUCAGGAGUUCGAUUCUCCUUGCCUCCA